This 1492-nucleotide ribosomal RNA is filed under the name Lacticaseibacillus paracasei. RNAcentral's name for it is "bacterial SSU rRNA". It matches the Rfam family "Bacterial small subunit ribosomal RNA". The record is from RNAcentral. Lineage: Bacteria; Bacillati; Bacillota; Bacilli; Lactobacillales; Lactobacillaceae.
GAUGAACGCUGGCGGCGUGCCUAAUACAUGCAAGUCGAACGAGUUCUCGUUGAUGAUCGGUGCUUGCACCGAGAUUCAACAUGGAACGAGUGGCGGACGGGUGAGUAACACGUGGGUAACCUGCCCUUAAGUGGGGGAUAACAUUUGGAAACAGAUGCUAAUACCGCAUAGAUCCAAGAACCGCAUGGUUCUUGGCUGAAAGAUGGCGUAAGCUAUCGCUUUUGGAUGGACCCGCGGCGUAUUAGCUAGUUGGUGAGGUAAUGGCUCACCAAGGCGAUGAUACGUAGCCGAACUGAGAGGUUGAUCGGCCACAUUGGGACUGAGACACGGCCCAAACUCCUACGGGAGGCAGCAGUAGGGAAUCUUCCACAAUGGACGCAAGUCUGAUGGAGCAACGCCGCGUGAGUGAAGAAGGCUUUCGGGUCGUAAAACUCUGUUGUUGGAGAAGAAUGGUCGGCAGAGUAACUGUUGUCGGCGUGACGGUAUCCAACCAGAAAGCCACGGCUAACUACGUGCCAGCAGCCGCGGUAAUACGUAGGUGGCAAGCGUUAUCCGGAUUUAUUGGGCGUAAAGCGAGCGCAGGCGGUUUUUUAAGUCUGAUGUGAAAGCCCUCGGCUUAACCGAGGAAGCGCAUCGGAAACUGGGAAACUUGAGUGCAGAAGAGGACAGUGGAACUCCAUGUGUAGCGGUGAAAUGCGUAGAUAUAUGGAAGAACACCAGUGGCGAAGGCGGCUGUCUGGUCUGUAACUGACGCUGAGGCUCGAAAGCAUGGGUAGCGAACAGGAUUAGAUACCCUGGUAGUCCAUGCCGUAAACGAUGAAUGCUAGGUGUUGGAGGGUUUCCGCCCUUCAGUGCCGCAGCUAACGCAUUAAGCAUUCCGCCUGGGGAGUACGACCGCAAGGUUGAAACUCAAAGGAAUUGACGGGGGCCCGCACAAGCGGUGGAGCAUGUGGUUUAAUUCGAAGCAACGCGAAGAACCUUACCAGGUCUUGACAUCUUUUGAUCACCUGAGAGAUCAGGUUUCCCCUUCGGGGGCAAAAUGACAGGUGGUGCAUGGUUGUCGUCAGCUCGUGUCGUGAGAUGUUGGGUUAAGUCCCGCAACGAGCGCAACCCUUAUGACUAGUUGCCAGCAUUUAGUUGGGCACUCUAGUAAGACUGCCGGUGACAAACUGGAGGAAGGUGGGGAUGACGUCAAAUCAUCAUGCCCCUUAUGACCUGGGCUACACACGUGCUACAAUGGAUGGUACAACGAGUUGCGAGACCGCGAGGUCAAGCUAAUCUCUUAAAGCCAUUCUCAGUUCGGACUGUAGGCUGCAACUCGCCUACACGAAGUCGGAAUCGCUAGUAAUCGCGGAUCAGCACGCCGCGGUGAAUACGUUCCCGGGCCUUGUACACACCGCCCGUCACACCAUGAGAGUUUGUAACACCCGAAGCCGGUGGCGUAACCCUUUUAGGGAGCGAGCCGUCUAAGGUGGGACAAAUGAUUAGGGUG